Molecule: long non-coding RNA, 2389 nt
Filed under: Anser cygnoides (Swan goose)
Lineage: Eukaryota; Metazoa; Chordata; Aves; Anseriformes; Anatidae
Description: lncRNA (ENSACDG00005016032.1)
Source: RNAcentral
AAUAAAAAAACAAACAAACAACAACAACAAAAGUCAGAAGAGAGUAAAGCACCCAGGCAGACGCAAACAGAGCAAAACAAAACAAGAACAGCCACAACAGAGAGAGUGAGAUGUGCGAAAUGAAAUCGGCUGGGAGCAGGGGCAGGGGCUGGAGAGGCUGAGGGAGGCGUGGGGGUGUAGGGAGAGGGAAAGGGGGAAAGUGAGUGCGUGUGUGUGUGUGUGAGUGUGUGUGUGCGGGGGGAGACGGUCCGCUUCGGCACGGCUGGAGAGACCCUGGCGAGGAAACCGGGAUGGAAAGGAAGGAAACGGAGGAGAGAAACUAGAGUUGCUCUGAAUUAGGAAGGAAGGACGAAAAAAUCAAAUGUAAAUGAAUAAACAAGCAGAAUCCAAAGCAGCUAGAUAAAUAAAUCAUCACGGGGAAGGAGAGAGGAAAGGUGGGGUGCAUCGGAGGGGAGGGGGUGGGAGAUAAAGGGGGAAAUAAUCUGAAAGUUACCAGAAACAUUAUUUAGUAGCAAUUCCCCUUGUCCUUGUCAAAGCCAGAGACAAAAAAAAAAAAAGAAAAAAAAAGAAAAAAAAAAGCAGCUAUAUAUGUAUACAUAUAUAUACGUUCGUAUAUAUACACACACACAUAUGUAUUUGUUAGUCUGUCCUGGGCAGCAGCAGCAACGGCGGCAGCAGCAGCAGCAGCAGCAGCAAGCUUUCCCCUGUGAACCCCGUGCUACUGAGCAGCCAGAGAGCAGGGAAAUCGCGCUGCUGGGGGAAAAGCUAGAGAGGAAAAAAGCGUGGAACAAUUGCAGAGAGAGACACACACACACACAGAGACUCACGCACACACACAAAAAGCUAGUGAAUAAUUUUUGCUGCUAUUUUUUAAUAGUGGCCGCCAUCAUCAUCAGCAACAGAGGAGAGCAAAUCGGACAGGCCCCUCUUAAGAGAGGAUUUAUAUAUAGCUGCCUAUAAAACUCCAGAAGAGGAGAGCGCUCUCGUUUUGACACUGGAGUUCUCGGUCCGGAGAGAACAAUAUCCUCCUAUCUCGUUUGAAAUGUUACGGCGACUCUCAUAACACACGCGAUCACUCCAAGCACGAAUCUCCCUUUUUUGAAAGCGCUGCUCGGCCCAUUGUUUGAAGUGGGAAUCAGCGCGCAGCCCGAAGCGAAAAGGGAAAAAAAAAUCUUAGGAGCCCGGCUUGGUAUUGCAUAGGGAAAGAACUGACAAAAUAUUAUAGUGUGUUUCCUAGAAGUGCGUGAUGAGAGCCCGUGGUGUGUUCCCGAAAGAGAAGUGGUUUUUUUUUUUUUUCUUUUCCUUUUUUUUCCCCUAAAAGAUUGUGAUCGCCUUUGUACGUCUUUCUUUUGAUCCCACAAAGAGAAUGCAAUAUACAUAUAUGUGUUUGCUCUCCAUACAAGAAAUGCAAGGGACCGUACAAUGGAAUAUACGGCCGGUUAGCCCUCAUAAUGCUUAGUUUUGCUGUAAUUAAUUGAAAACAGUUAUUAGGUCGUCAUUGGCAAUAGCGUAAAUAAUUGCAGCAGAUUUUUACUUAAAAUUGACCGGUCACAGAGUGAUAGAUCGAUUCGAGGUAUAAAAAUGAUGUAUCAAAACAUCAAUGUCGAUUAUUUGAAAUAUUGUAGUCGAAUCUUUUUAUUGCUUCAUCGGUUAAGUGUCUGAAAGUGCUGUGUUCCAACAUAUAUUUAUGUUGUCAAUACUGUCAAAACUGUCAGUUUUAUUACAGUGGAUUUGUAAUACAUUUCGGAUUUGCUCAUUUACAUAAAAUGUCCACCCCAGUUACCCCUCCUUUUCCCCAUCUCUGCAAAUCUAUGUCAGUUUAAUGAAAGGAUUCAGGACUCCUAGCUGAAGCAAAAAAAGUAGAGAUAUUGCUCCAUUAAGUCCAAUUUAAACAUCCCUUUGGAAAGCUUGGGCUAUUCCUAACUUGCUAUAAGAGGGAAUCCUCCACCCCCUUUAUUUCCCCAGCAGAAUUUAAACACUCUUCUACUAUCACACCUCGAUUAAACCCUUCAGGAGACCCGAGAAACUAUACGGAGAGACACAGCCGAGCCAAAGCACACCUGUGAGUGCCGCAAGCCCGCCGAGCAGGGCAGCAGCCCCCGGACUGCGCACCCCCCGGAGGUUUGGUGCUGGUGGGCAGGAGGAAACAAAAGGAGCCAUAAAUACGUGUGCUCCUUCCUUAACGGGCUGGACCCCAAAGGAUAAGCUCAAGUUGGAAGCAGGAGGGGACGUGAUAUGCCCCCUGUCCCCCAGCCCCCGUUUGGGGUACGCACUGUCCCUGUCCGCCCUGAUCUGGUGUCGGGGCGCUCUUAGGCACCGCUCUCUGAUUUUCUCCGAGAGCCCAGCUGAGGGAUGGAGAAAGUCAGGAAUAAAGAGAUCCAUUUCCACA